UGAUGGUAGCUCAAUUGGUAGAGCAUUUGGUUGUGGUCCAAAAGGUUGAGGGUUCGAUUCCCUUCCAUCAACCA
Molecule: transfer RNA, 74 nt
Filed under: Minisyncoccota bacterium
Lineage: Bacteria; Bacillati; Minisyncoccota
Description: tRNA-His
Rfam family: tRNA
About the family: Transfer RNA (tRNA) molecules are approximately 80 nucleotides in length.
Source: RNAcentral